GAUGAAGAACGUAGCGAAAUGCGAUAAGUAAUGUGAAUUGCAGAAUUCAGUGAAUCAUCGAAUCUUUGAACGCACAUUGCGCCCCUUGGUAUUCCGAGGGGCAUGCCUGUUCGAGCGUCAUUACACCACUCAAGCUAUGCUUGGUAUUGGGCGUCAUCCUUAGUUGGGCGCGCCUUAAAGACCUCGGCGAGGCCACUCCGGCUUUAGGCGUAGUAGAAUUUAUUCGAACGUCUGUCAAAGGAGAGGAACUCUGCCGACUGAAACCUUUAUUUUUCUAGGUUGACCUCGGAUCAGGUAGGGAUACCCGCUGAACUUAAGCAUAUCAAUAAGCGGAGGA
This 337-nucleotide unclassified non-coding RNA is filed under the name soil metagenome. Its description in RNAcentral is "partial contains 5.8S ribosomal RNA, internal transcribed spacer 2, and large subunit ribosomal RNA". The stretch from base 1 to 120 matches the Rfam family "5.8S ribosomal RNA", at positions 35 to 154 of the family's 154-position model. The record is from RNAcentral.